CAUUCUCAACACACAAAGAAACAAUAAAACAAAUAAUUGGGUCUUUGUGUUGUUAGAAAUAAAGAAUAAGAUGGCAAAGGGAGCAGCGUUCUUUGUUCUGGUGUUGGCAUUGGCCUUUGUGUUUCUAAUGGACUCAGCUUACUCGGAUGACUCGGCAUACGAGGCAGGGAGAAAAGUUAAGGAGACAGCACACGACUUGAAACACAAGACUGAGGACUUCUUCAAAGGAAUUUUUGGUAGGUUGGCGAAAAACCACCAUCACCAUGACCACGCUCAUGCUCAUGAUCACGCUCAUGCUCAUGCUCAUGCUCAUGCUCAUGCUCAUUCACAUGUUCAUGCUCAUGGUCCAGCAACAGCAGUAUCAGUACCAGUACCAGCACCAGCAGAGACCCCUAAAGCAGCGAAAGCUGAAGCUCCCAGCCAUGUCUAGAGAGCCCAAGGGGUUGCAUAAGGGUCUUCACUUCUGCAACUGAUGUUAAUUUGACUUCUGCAACUGAUGUUAAUUUGAGGGGACGUCGAUCGCUCUCAACUUUGGUGCUCCCUUUUAAUUUUAUAGUAAUAAACCUAUUUUGGUUGUAAUUGGUUCCUUGUUAUAAUGUUAGGAACUGAUUUCUUAGAGAGCCCUUUGCUGCAGAAAAUGCAGUAUUUUUAGGUGUAAAUGUACCGAAUUAAUGCCAAUUUACCUCAAUCUUGGAACUUGCUGAAGCAA
Molecule: RNA transcript, 709 nt
Organism: Macadamia integrifolia
Lineage: Eukaryota; Viridiplantae; Streptophyta; Magnoliopsida; Proteales; Proteaceae
Gene name: urease accessory protein UreG-like
Exons: 3
Source: RefSeq, a predicted model, not a curated record